RNAcentral lists this ribosomal RNA (274 nucleotides) under uncultured bacterium. RNAcentral describes it as "partial 16S ribosomal RNA". It matches the Rfam family "Archaeal small subunit ribosomal RNA", at positions 473 to 747 of the family's 1478-position model. The record is from RNAcentral.
AAACCAGCACCUCAAGUGGUCAGGAGGAUUAUUGGGCCUAAAGCAUCCGUAGCCUGCUGCAUAAGUUUUCGGUUAAAUCCAUACGCUCAACGUAUGGGCUGCCGGGAAUACUGUGCAGCUAGGGAGUGGGAGAGGUAGACGGUACUCGGUAGGAAGGGGUAAAAUCCUUUGAUCUAUCGAUGACCACCUGUGGCGAAGGCGGUCUACCAGAACACGUUCGACGGUGAGGGAUGAAAGCUGGGGGAGCAAACCGGAUUAGAAACCCCAGUAGUCC